AGGCAGAGCCAGGUGGGGAAGGAAGAGCUCUGAAGGCUUGCUGAGGCUCUCGUAGGCAGCUUAGGGCUGUCCGGCUGCUGUGGCUGCACGACUCCAGGGUGUGAGGCCACUGUGGUCAGGUGGGGCAGCCGAACCUGGACCUCCAGAGCCUGGCCUCUGGGACGCCAGGGGCCCACUGGUCUGUCUACGGGCUCCUCACUGGUCUUGCGCUAAGGGUCAGCCCACGUCCUCUUCUUCCGGGGUCCAGGGACAGGGCUGAGCUGGGUCCCUGCUCUGCCCCAAGCACCAGGCCUGGCACAGACGGGUGGAACUGGUAGAAGGGAGGCUGGAAGAGUGAGUUCUGGGCCAGUUACCCAGGGCUCGAAGGAGCACAGCCCUGGGGCCGGCACAGCUCCCCAUCAACCUGCCAGCCAGCGCCUGUGCGACAGGGAAGCACCCACCUCCUUCGACCCAGGGCCCGGCUGCCCCACCCUGACCCACGCAUCCUUCGGAGGUCCCAGGAGAAAUUUCAUUCCUCCUGGAAGCCCUCCGAGAUCACCACGCUCUGUAGGGUCCCUUCCUCGUCCUCUCAUGACGCCCUGCUCCAUGCGGUAGCACUUCUGUAAUAACUUGUUUAAUUACCCUUCUGUCUCCCUAGACUGCAGGACCCGUAGGAUGGGACUACUGUUUUAGCAGAGCGCCUGACCCAAAUAAAUAUUUACUGAAUGGA
Molecule: long non-coding RNA, 709 nt
Organism: Neofelis nebulosa (Clouded leopard)
Lineage: Eukaryota; Metazoa; Chordata; Mammalia; Carnivora; Felidae
Exons: 2
Source: RefSeq, a predicted model, not a curated record